AGCAGCCGCGGUAAUUCCAGCUCCAAUAGCGUAUAUUAAAGUUGUUGCAGUUAAAAAGCUCGUAGUUGAAUUUCGGGAUCAAUGUUUCGGUCAUGCCCUUGGUAUGUACUGAUAUUAUUGGUUUCUCACCUUCUAAAGAACCGUAAUGCCAUUAAUUUGGUGUCACGGGGAAUUAGGACUGUUACCUUGAAAAAAUUAGAGUGUUUAAAGCAGGCUCACGCUUGAAUACAUUAGCAUGGAAUAAUGAAAUAGGACAUCCGAUUCUAUUUUGUUGGUUUCUAGGAUCGAUGUAAUGAUUAAUAGGGAUAGUUGGGGGCAUUAGUAUUCAAUUGUCAGAGGUGAAAUUCUUGGAUUUAUUGAAGACUAACUACUGCGAAAGCAUUUGCCAAGGAUGUUUUCAUUAAUCAAGAACGAAAGUUAGGGGAUCGAAGACGAUCAGAUACCGUCGUAGUCUUAACCAUAAGCUAUGCCGACUAGGGAUCGGACGAUGUUAAUUUUUUAAUGACUCA
This 509-nucleotide ribosomal RNA is filed under the name uncultured glomeraceous AM fungus. Its description in RNAcentral is "SSU rRNA". It matches the Rfam family "Eukaryotic small subunit ribosomal RNA", at positions 569 to 1078 of the family's 1831-position model. Lineage: Eukaryota; Fungi; Glomeromycota; Glomeromycetes; Glomerales; Glomeraceae. The record is from RNAcentral.